UAAUGUAUGGGAUCUGGCCCGAUAGAGGGGGAGAACUACUGGAAACGGUGGCUAAUACCGCAUAAUGUCUACGGACCAAAGCAGGGGCUCUUCGGACCUUGCACUAUCGGAUGAACCCAUAUGGGAUUAGCUAGUAGGUGGGGUAAAGGCUCACCUAGGCGACGAUCUCUAGCUGGUCUGAGAGGAUGAUCAGCCACACUGGGACUGAGACACGGCCCAG
This 220-nucleotide ribosomal RNA is filed under the name uncultured bacterium. RNAcentral's name for it is "partial 16S ribosomal RNA". It matches the Rfam family "Bacterial small subunit ribosomal RNA", at positions 111 to 334 of the family's 1533-position model. The record is from RNAcentral.